UCCUCCUCUUCCUAUCCCCUCGUGCCGCCUACCCCUUCCCUUCAUCAUUCCUCUCCCCUUCGCUGCCGUCGUUGAUCUUCCUCAGGUCGAGCUCCAUCCUCGCCCUCGUUGGGAGCAGCUUUGACGCCAGCCGGAGGGUGCGGAUAUGCAGCGCCGCAACGCGCCUUGCCAUGAGAUGGCAGGGGACGGCCGGACAGGGCGGAGAUGGCAGCCGGCAUCAGGCCGGAGGUUGGAGCAGCAGCAGUAGGGACGUUGACCACCGGAAUGGAGGAAGCAGGCCAGUGCACAGAUGGCCGGCGGCAGGGAUCGAAGGUGCAGGGGCGCGGAACCUGGAGAAGGGACGUGGCGCGGGACCAGAAGGUGGAGAUCUCCUCCCCAACUCCGCCUCCGCUACAGAUUUAUCAGCUAUGAAUGGCGUGGCAGUGUGGUUUCUCUCUUCCUAGGAGGUCGGCAUGGUGUCCAUGGCCAAGGACAGUGCGCUCCACCUCCUCCCCUCCCCACAUACCUGUGUUAGAUUGGUUCUCACUCCGCACAACAUUGCCCUCUAUGAAAAGGAGUAAUUGGUGCCCUCCCAUAUUUGUUGUGCACGUCAGAUGAUGAAGAUCCAUUGGUGUUUUUACUAUUCCUUGUGAUAUGGGGCAACAUGCUUAAUUUUAGGGCUGCAGGUCAACUGAUAGGAGGACUUUUGAAUGAUUGGGAUCUUCAAGAAAUAGGUUCAAACGAAGUAGGUGGGAGGGUUGGCGGGAAAGCACCGAGAUAAUGCAGUAGGUAUGGCUUCAUUAUUUUGUACUCCAUAUCUCUAAUGUAAUUUGGUCUUUUACAAUAUAUUUGAUUUACAACCAACAAACCUCAGGUUAUAAAGUAUCACUAAUCCAUUUAAUCUUCUGUUGGACGCUGAUUUAGAGGCUCUUGAUCUGCCAUUACAUUUGUUAGAAUGGGGUGACAUUGAGAAGAGUAUACCUAACGAAGGGCUCAACAAGGCAAUCAUUGAGGCCUCUAUUGUGAAGAUCUUGUGGGAUGGCAACCAUUCUUGUUUCUUUCCUGGUAAUAAUAAUCGGAGCAAUAUUGUGAACCCUAAUGAUUAUCAGGAAAAGGUAGUCAAAUCCCAGCAAGUCCAAGACACCUUGCAGAAUAAUACAUGAUUGUGAAAUAUAGCAGCGACCUUCUCUCAUCAGGCUCCCAUGAAGGUCUACAGCGGCAGGGGACUGCCACAUCCAAUGAGGGCACCAUCAGUUAUCCUCUUCAUCUAUCUGUGUUGGUUACGCCUCGAUGCAUCGGCGCUGGACCUAGAGAAAAAUUGCUUGACCUAUAGUUCCUCUCUCAAUCUCUCACACACACGUUGGUAGACUUUUGUAGCAUUUCCCUCUAUUUUUCUUGAUGCUGGUAGGUUUUCAAGAUUGGCCAGACCCGUGCCAAAGGAUGAACAAUGAAGUGAACAACACGCUCCCCCAUAGCUGAGCUCGAAUGGAAAGCAGGUAAAGACACCAAAUUCAGUAAGCUGCCAUGGUGUUAAUUAGUGGCCUCUGGGAAAAGUUGGAGCACGUGCAGACACUACCUUGUGCCAAUACUGGCGGCGGCGCAUCGACUAAAUCGCUGGUCGAAGCACCAGUAGACAGCUGGUUAACUGCUUCCUCAAAUGACUGUACGAUGCAAAGCUGUGGUUCUUUUCGAAGGAAAAGCCAAACUGCACUAGCCUUUGCUUGCUUUCAUAUAGCACAGAGGUCGAUUAUUGGGUGAAUAUGAUUGCAGCCACUUCAUCGCUUAGGAACGGCGGCUGUCUGAUUGAGCUUGCCAGCCGAUCUGCUAUUUAUUUUUUCACUGCCUGAAAUAGAGAGGAGCGCACGAAUGUGGAAGUGGCUAGAUUAUGCCAAGUUUUGCAAUAUACAGUACUGCCAUGUUGGAUUAGAACAAAUAAAGUACACUUCCCCUGCUGAGUAUCGUUGUCAAGGUUGUUUUCAGAACACACCAAAUCUUUUUCAUUUGUCAAAUUGGUACAGAGCUAGGCUUAUUUUUUGUAAUGAUAAAUCCCUAUAAAAAAGCUGCCUACAUUUUAAUUUAUUAACCAAUGGGGCAACUCUCGGACUUAGGUUUGUUUGUAUUCUAUACCAAGUGCAAAUAAUGCUCCUGGUUUACAAAUACUUUCCUCUAA
Lolium perenne is the source of this 2149-nucleotide non-coding RNA. The record is from RefSeq and is a predicted model, not a curated record. NCBI's taxonomy places the organism in Eukaryota, Viridiplantae, Streptophyta, Magnoliopsida, Poales, Poaceae.